AACGAACGCUGGCGGCAGGCCUGACACAUGCAAGUCGAGCGCUGUAGCAAUACAGAGCGGCGCACGGGAUAAUAACGCGUGGGAACCUACCUUAUGGUUCGGAAUAACAUCGGGAAACUGGUGCUAAUACCGGAUAAGCCCUUCGGGGGAAAGAUUUAUUGCCAUUAGAUGGGCCCGCGUUAGAUUAGCUAGUUGGUGAGGUAACGGCUCACCAAGGCGACGAUCUAUAGCUGGUCUGAGAGGAUGAUCAGCAUCACGGGGACUGAGACACGGCCCAGACUCCUACGGGAGGCAGCAGUGGGGAAUAUUGGACAAUGGGGGAAACCCUGAUCCAGCCAUGCCGCGUGAAUGAUGAAGGCCUUCGGGUUGUAAAGUUCUUUUGACGGGGACGAUGAUGACGGUACCCGUAGAAUAAGCUCCGGCUAACUUCGUGCCAGCCGCCGCAGUAA
This 449-nucleotide ribosomal RNA is filed under the name uncultured bacterium. Its description in RNAcentral is "partial 16S ribosomal RNA". It matches the Rfam family "Bacterial small subunit ribosomal RNA", at positions 29 to 523 of the family's 1533-position model. The record is from RNAcentral.